CGACAGCAAUAUGAAGGUCAGGCUGAAGACCUUACCCGAUUAGCUGAGAGGUGGUGCAUGGCCGUCGUCAGUUCGUACUGUGAAGCAUCCUGUUAAGCAGGCAACGAGCGAGACCCACGUCCACAGUUGCCAGCAUACCCUCCGGGGUGAUGGGUACACUGUGGAGACCGCCGCUGCUAAAGCGGAGGAAGGAGUGGGCAACGGUAGGUCAGUAUGCCCCGAAUCUCCCGGGCUACACGCGGGCUACAAUGGUUGGUACAAUGGGCAUCUACCCCGAAAGGGGAAGGAAAUCUCUUAAAGCCAAUCGUAGUUCGGAUUGAGGGCUGCAACUCGCCCUCAUGAAGCUGGAAUCCGUAGUAAUCGCGUUUCAACAGAACGCGGUGAAUACGUCCCUGCUCCUU
This 401-nucleotide ribosomal RNA is filed under the name uncultured Methanosaeta sp. Its description in RNAcentral is "bacterial SSU rRNA". It matches the Rfam family "Archaeal small subunit ribosomal RNA", at positions 937 to 1338 of the family's 1478-position model. Lineage: Archaea; Methanobacteriati; Methanobacteriota; Methanomicrobia; Methanotrichales; Methanotrichaceae. The record is from RNAcentral.